GUUUUUGUAGCUUAUUUCAAAGCAUUAGUCUUGUAAACUAAAAAUAGAGGCUAGCCCCUCUCUCAAACU
This 69-nucleotide transfer RNA is filed under the name Caudacaecilia cf. asplenia ZRC 1.12502. RNAcentral's name for it is "tRNA-Thr". It matches the Rfam family "tRNA". Rfam says of the family: Transfer RNA (tRNA) molecules are approximately 80 nucleotides in length. The record is from RNAcentral. Lineage: Eukaryota; Metazoa; Chordata; Amphibia; Gymnophiona; Ichthyophiidae.